Molecule: unclassified non-coding RNA, 333 nt
Filed under: soil metagenome
Description: partial contains 5.8S ribosomal RNA, internal transcribed spacer 2, and large subunit ribosomal RNA
Rfam family: 5.8S ribosomal RNA (bases 1-120)
Source: RNAcentral
GAUGAAGAACGCAGCGAAAUGCGAUAAGUAAUGUGAAUUGCAGAAUUCAGUGAAUCAUCGAAUCUUUGAACGCACAUUGCGCCCGCCAGUAUUCUGGCGGGCAUGCCUGUUCGAGCGUCAUUUCAACCAUCAAGCCCUGCUUGCGUUGGGGUCCUGCGGCUGCCCGCAGGCCCUGAAAACCAGUGGCGGGCUCGCUAGUCACACCGAGCGCAGUAAUACAUCUCGCUUUGGGCGUGCGGCGGGUUCUUGCCGUUAAACACCCCCUUUUUACCAAGGUUGACCUCGGAUCAGGUAGGAAUACCCGCUGAACUUAAGCAUACAAUAAGCGGAGGA